RNAcentral lists this ribosomal RNA (305 nucleotides) under uncultured bacterium. Its description in RNAcentral is "partial 16S ribosomal RNA". It matches the Rfam family "Bacterial small subunit ribosomal RNA", at positions 508 to 808 of the family's 1533-position model. The record is from RNAcentral.
ACAGCAGUCGCCGCGGUAAUACGUAGGUGGCAAGCGUUGUCCGGAAUUAUUGGGCGUAAAGCGCGCGCAGGCGGUUUCUUAAGUCUGAUGUGAAAGCCCCCGGCUUAACCGGGGAGGGUCAUUGGAAACUGGGAGACUUAGAGUGCAGAAGAGGAGAGUGGAAUUCCAUGUGUAGCGGUGAAAUGCGUAGAUAUAUGGAGGAACACCAGUGGCGAAGGCGACUCUCUGGUCUGUAACUGACGCUGAGGCGCGAAAGCGUGGGGAGCAAACAGGAUUAGAUACCCCAGUAGUCCCUGUCUCUUAUA